UGAGACACAAGAAAAUCUGAUAAGAAUGCUGAAGAACAAGCACUAUAAUCUGCUAGAUUUCAACCGAGAUGCAUGUGCAUUUGGAAUGGAAUUUUGAGAACAUGUACGCUUCUAAUUUCAGCCGGGCAAUACGGGAAGGGCCACAUAAGCACGUUUGGCUAAUAGGGAAAUAACAUCAGGAGAAAGUUGGCUUAGAAGCACAGGAAUAAAUUUGGUAGCCUACCAUGUUUUAUUACAGCUAGAAGAAAGAAGAACAGGAAAGUUCAAGUUCUUGAUUGCAUAUGGUAGAGUAUCUAGACCACCAGAAUGGCAUUUCCUAUUUAAUUCAGUUCCAAGAAAACACUAGCUAAAACUUUUCAUCUAAAAGGAAAUUCAUAAACAGCACAUAAAGCUAUCCAUGCAAAUGAUAUAAGCAUUUAUGUAUGACAAAUAGAACUGUUACAAGGUAUUCAUGAAGAGGCUUGCAAUUCCAUUCGAAUAAGGAGGCUUGUGGUUAUUAGAAAAUG
RNAcentral lists this long non-coding RNA (506 nucleotides) under Triticum aestivum (bread wheat). RNAcentral describes it as "long non-coding RNA (TAES_LNC008648)". Lineage: Eukaryota; Viridiplantae; Streptophyta; Magnoliopsida; Poales; Poaceae. The record is from RNAcentral.